RNAcentral lists this unclassified non-coding RNA (358 nucleotides) under soil metagenome. RNAcentral's name for it is "partial contains 5.8S ribosomal RNA, internal transcribed spacer 2, and large subunit ribosomal RNA". The stretch from base 1 to 120 matches the Rfam family "5.8S ribosomal RNA", at positions 35 to 154 of the family's 154-position model. The record is from RNAcentral.
GAUGAAGAACGCAGCGAAAUGCGAUAAGUAAUGUGAAUUGCAGAAUUCAGUGAAUCAUCGAAUCUUUGAACGCACAUUGCGCCCGUCAGUAUUCUGGCGGGCAUGCCUGUUCGAGCGUCAUUACGCCCCUCAAGUACCCUGUGGACUUGGUGUUGGGGAUCGGCGAGGCUGGUUUUCCAGCACAGCCGUCCCUUAAAUUAAUUGGCGGUCUCGCCGUGGCCCUCCUCUGCGCAGUAGUAAAACACUCGCAACAGGAGCCCGGCGCGGUCCACUGCCGUAAAACCCCCCAACUUUUUAUAGUUGACCUCGAAUCAGGUAGGACUACCCGCUGAACUUAAGCAUAUCAAUAAGCGGAGGA